GAUCAAGUGUCUUAAGGGCAAUUGGUGGAUGCCUUGGCAUGCACAGGCGAUGAAGGACGUGAUACGCUGCGAUAAGCUACGGGGAGGUGCGAAUACCCUUUGAUCCGUAGAUUUCCGAAUGGGGAAACCCACCUAAGGUGCUUGGAAAAUCAGAGUAGCAGGGCAACCUGCUGCUGUGGUUUCCAAGUAUCUGUUAUAGGUAACUUACCCUGAAUAAAAUAGGGGUAAAGUGGCGAACGCGGGGAACUGAAACAUCUAAGUACCCGUAGGAAAGGACAUCAACCGAGACUCCGGCAGUAGUGGCGAGCGAACCCGGACCAGGCCAGUGGCGAUGAUGAGACAAGCGGAACCUUCUGGAAAGUAGGGCCAUAGUGGGUGACAGCCCCGUACGCGUAAUGCAAAUCAUCGUCCUCGAGUAAGGCGGGACACGUGAAAUCCUGUCUGAAAUUGGGGGGACCACCCUCCAAGCCUAAGUACUCGUGCAUGACCGAUAGCGAACUAGUACCGUGAGGGAAAGGUGAAAAGCACCCCGACAAGGGGAGUGAAAGAGUACCUGAAACCGAUUGCCUACAAACAGUGGGAGUCCAAGGUUCGUCCUGGGUGACCACGUACCUUUUGUAUAAUGGGUCAGCGACUUAGUGUGACGAGCAAGCUUAAACCGCUAGGUGUAGGCGCAGCGAAAGCGAGUCUGAACAGGGCGUUCAGUUCGUCGCAUUAGACCCGAAACCGAGUGAUCUAGCCAUGAGCAGGUUGAAGGUAAGGUAACACUUACUGGAGGACCGAACCCAUAACUGUUGCAAUAGUUCGGGAUGACUUGUGGCUAGGGGUGAAAGGCCAAUCAAACUCGGAAAUAGCUGGUUCUCCGCGAAAUCUAUUUAGGUAGAGCGUCGACCGAAUACCCCAGGGGGUAGAGCACUGGAUGGGCUAGGGGUCCUCACCGGAUUACCAAACCUAACCAAACUCCGAAUACCUGGGAGUACUAGUCGGCAGACACACGGCGGGUGCUAACGUCCGUCGUGAAAAGGGAAACAACCCUGACCUACAGCUAAGGUCCCCAAGUUAUGGCUAAGUGGGAAAGGAUGUGAGGAUCCCAAAACAACCAGGAUGUUGGCUUAGAAGCAGCCAUCAUUUAAAGAAAGCGUAACAGCUCACUGGUCUAAAUAAGGGUCUUUGCGCCGAAAAUGUAACGGGGCUCAAGCCAUACACCGAAGCUUAGGGUUCGUGAGCAAUCACGAGCGGUAGCGGAGCGUUCUGUAAGCUGAUGAAGCCAUACCCGUGAGGGGUGGUGGAGGUAUCAGAAGUGCGAAUGCUGACAUGAGUAACGUAAGGGGAGUGAGAGACUCCCCCGCCGAAAGUCCAAGGGUUCCUGCUUAAAGCUAAUCUGAGCAGGGUUAGCCGGCCCCUAAGUCGAGGCAGAAAUGCGUAGACGAUGGGAACCACGUUAAUAUUCGUGGGCCUGGAGGAAGUGACGGAUCAUUGAGGUAGUCCAAUCUUAUCGGAUUGAAAGGGCUGCUGCGUGGUUCCAGGAAAUAGCUCCUCCUUAUAGACCGUACCCGAAACCGACACUGGUGGACUGGUAGAGUAUACCAAGGCGCUUGAGAGAACUAUGCUGAAGGAACUCGGCAAAUUGCACGCGUAACUUCGGAAGAAGCGUGACCCUUUUCCACGCAAGUGGAGGAGGGUGGCACAGACCAGGGGGUAGCGACUGUUUAUCAAAAACACAGGGCUCUGCGAAGUCGCAAGACGACGUAUAGGGUCUGACGCCUGCCCGGUGCUGGAAGGUUAAGAGGAGGGGUGCAAGCUCUGAAUCGAAGCCCCAGUAAACGGCGGCCGUAACUAUAACGGUCCUAAGGUAGCGAAAUUCCUUGUCGGGUAAGUUCCGACCUGCACGAAUGGCGUAACGACUUCCCCGCUGUCUCCAGCAUAGACUCAGUGAAAUUGAAUUCCCCGUGAAGAUGCGGGGUUCCUGCGGUUAGACGGAAAGACCCCGUGCACCUUUACUAUAGCUUUACAUUGGCAUUCGUAGUGGCAUGUGUAGGAUAGGUGGUAGGCUUUGAAACCUGGGCGCCAGCUCAGGUGGAGCCACCCUUGAAAUACCACCCUUAUCACUAUGGAUGUCUAACCGCGGCCCGUUAUCCGGGUCCGGGACAAUGUAUGGUGGGUAGUUUGACUGGGGCGGUCGCCUCCUAAAGAGUAACGGAGGCGCGCGAUGGUGGGCUCAGAACGGUCGGAAAUCGUUCGCUGAGUGCAAUGGCAUAAGCCUGCCUGACUGCGAGACUGACAAGUCGAGCAGAGACGAAAGUCGGUCAUAGUGAUCCGGUGGUCCCGCGUGGAAGGGCCAUCGCUCAACGGAUAAAAGGUACGCCGGGGAUAACAGGCUGAUGACCCCCAAGAGUCCAUAUCGACGGGGUUGUUUGGCACCUCGAUGUCGACUCAUCGCAUCCUGGGGCUGGAGCAGGUCCCAAGGGUAUGGCUGUUCGCCAUUUAAAGCGGUACGUGAGUUGGGUUCAGAACGUCGUGAGACAGUUCGGUCCCUAUCUGCCGUGGGUGUAGGAAUAUUGAAAGGAUCUGUCCCUAGUACGAGAGGACCGGGAUGGACGGAUCUCUGGUGGACCUGUUGUGGCGCCAGCCGCAUAGCAGGGUAGCUAUAUCCGGACGGGAUAACCGCUGAAGGCAUCUAAGCGGGAAACCCACCUUAAAACGAGUAUUCCCUGAGAACCGUGGAAGACGACCACGUUGAUAGGCCGGGUGUGGAAGAGCGGCAACGCUUGAAGCUUACCGGUACUAAUAGUUCGAUCGGCUUGAUCGUUCUCAUU
This 2816-nucleotide ribosomal RNA is filed under the name Mesorhizobium sp. M6A.T.Ca.TU.002.02.2.1. Its description in RNAcentral is "23S ribosomal RNA". It matches the Rfam family "Bacterial large subunit ribosomal RNA". Lineage: Bacteria; Pseudomonadati; Pseudomonadota; Alphaproteobacteria; Hyphomicrobiales; Phyllobacteriaceae. The record is from RNAcentral.